UACUCCCUCCGUUUCAAAUUAGAUGUCCACUUUAAAAAAAUCACACAGUUUAAGAAAAGUGGUUAUUCACAUAUUAAUUGCAUUAAAUGAUCAAAAUAUGUGGAGUGAGAUUGAUCUAGGAAAUAGGAAUAAGAGAUAUGUGGAGUAGAAUUGACUUUGGAAAUAUGAUUUUGCAUUGAAAGUUGAAGUGGACAAGUAAUUUGAAACAAAAAAAUUUCUUGAAAGUGGACAUGUAAAUUGAAACGGAGGAAGUAGUAGUAUGAUAUUAAUCACGAACGUAAUUAGGUUGAAAUUAAAUAAUAUUCGACAAAGAUAUCUCAUUUUUAUCAUUUUUGAAGAUUUGGCAAGAAUGUGAUAUAUUGUACUAGACUACUAGCACGGGAUAAUUUCAACAAAUUAGAAAAUAUCCGUACGGGACACGGAAUAUAUCAACUUCAAAUUUGAAUUUCCUACCUAAUAUGUCUACAUCAAUGUAUAAAAAUAUUUUUAAACAUUUUAUUUUAGCAAAUUUUUUAAGAGGAAAAAGUUUUAUACAUGCAAGAGGGAAGUUAUACAAAAUCCAAAAUUCUUAAUUACAAUAUUAACAAUCUAAUUACCGAUUGUCAAAAUAUGUCCAUAUGUAACAAAAUUGUUUAUCUAUGUAGCCAACCCAACCUCGUACCAAAAACACCUUACAUGUAACCACUUCACAUUAUUCUAACUAGUAAUCAUUUAGUUUGCAAUCUCAUUAAUCUCUGAAACUAUGGUAAAUUUGAAUUUUAUGACAAUAGAGUUAGACUUAGAGACAUAACCUACAGUACUACACUACGAGCCUAUUUAAAAUGAUGAUUUAUAAAUUUAAUAUAACAAGGGCUUAGUUUAGACUAUCUAUUUGAAAAUUUUAUAUUGUGGACGACCUAUAAGUUUAAAGAUAUAAUAAUAAAAUUAAACUUAAUAGGCUAUUUAAUUAGUUUAGGAUUGCGGUUGAUAUUUAUUAAAAAUAUAUAAAAAUAAAAUAAAUUUUAAAAAAUAGGGUUGAAAUUAACAUGUAUCAAGGAAAUAUAAUAAUAAAUAAAUUAUUCAAAAAAUGCAACCUCAAAUGUAUGACUUUAAAUCAUUAUGACUUAUUUUUAAUUUUAAGUGACUUAUUACGGGGCCGUUUGGGUAAAUUUAAAAAAAAAUAAAAUAAAAAAGUUAACUAGAAGUAAGAAGUAUGUCAAGACUUAUAAGUUAUAAAAAUGUUUGUAAAAAAAUUAAAAUUUUUUAAUUUUUUAUAAGUAUUCUGACUAUUUACAAAACAUGUGAAAAAAAAGAGACGUCUAAUAAGUUCUUAGAGAAAAACGAAGUCGAGGAUGUCAAACAUGCACGCACCUAUAAAUAUUUUCGAAACAUUUUGAUCAAAAGCCAACUCUAUGUGUCUAUGUUAACAUACAUUAUUUAUUCGGUGGAAGAGAUUGACUAUAGGGCUCGCAAAAUAUUCAUACGUGCGUUAUUGACUAGGAGUACUUUAUAUAUGCGUGAUAAUAUGGCGAUUUCUCUCGGCAAACGUGAUAAAAACAUAGUCAUAGUAAGCCUCGUAGGUCUCAUAUGCAUGGCACAAAAUUUUCUCACAGCCAUGAUAAUUUGGGAAGACUAAUUAGCUGUUGAUUAAGGAAAAUAGAACAUGAAGAAAGAUGAAUUAACGCUAGCAAUAGUGAAGUGUGAAUUGACAAUUCUGGAGUUUUCACGUUCUUUGGGUAGUUAAGAACCUUUUAGCACGAGACAAACAACAAUUUGUUCGGAAAGUAGGAGAUCUAAGAUAAUCCAGUGCAUUCCUUGUCAAAUCAGUAUGUGAUGGUACACAAGGUGUCUCCACCGCACUGCAAUGAUCAACGUUAACAAAAUAGCUUUGAAACGCUAACGCCCUGCUCCCGAGUUAUAAUUAGAGAGGAAAACAAGUGAAAAUAAAGUAAAGUUAUAUAAUUUUCACUCCACUUUGUACUCUCGAGUUUUUAAAAAGAAGGAAAACAAGUGAAAGUGGAUGCAAAUAUAGCAUACUUUCACUCCAAAAGUUAGAUGAAAGCAUUCACUUGUUUUUUCCCCUAAAAAAACUCAGGAGCAGGGCCUAAGUAUAAGCUAAUUAUGACACCUAACUGUUAUCGAAAAUUGAGGGGUUGUGUAAUUGAGAUUGAGUACGUAUGACUGUAAAAUUCGGAAAUCGUAACUAAUGAUCCAUCGAUUGAUUGCAAUAUUACGAGAAUCAGAAUUAACGACCUAUCGACUGAUUGCAAUACCAAUACAGGAUUUAUUGAGAAUUUGUUGAUUUUUUUUUAUUAACACAAAAUUUUCAGUCAGAUUAAAACAUAAUCGAUUAGAUAUAAAUCAAAAUUAAAUAUUACGUAUGGGCUAGCUAGGGUUGCGCAUGUCACUUCCUCGCCUGUGAUACUCAUAUUUUGAACAAGUUUUUCACCUUAAACAAGUUUUAAAAGAAAAAUGACACUUUUGCUGUGUUUACACAGUAUAUUUGAAGGGUAAAUAUUAUAUAACAUCUUGGAACCGCGUUGAAAACCUUGUGAAACCACUAUAAAUACACUUGGUACACUUGCCUUUAACCUCACCCUAUCCUCUUUGGCAUUACUCUCACAUUCUCAACAUUAUUUUCUCCACUUAACAUAUCAAAAAAAUGGGAACAGGACACUCUCCUUGCGCCUCCUGCAAGCUGCUCCGGCGGCGAUGCACCAAGGACUGCACUUUCGCUCCGUACUUCCCUUCCGAUGAUCCCCAUAAGUUCGCCAUUGUUCACAAAGUGUUUGGUGCUAGCAACAUUAGCAAGAUGUUGCAGGUUCUCUUUUUUCUUCUCUGUUCUUCUCUUCAUUACCAACUACUUGAUUCUCGCACAUGCAUAAAAUCUUUAAUAGUUCAAAAAAGUUAAAUUUCGAUUCAAGAUACAUUUUCUCAAAAUAAUUAUGUAUUUUAGCUACAGGCCUCACAACAUUUAUCAGAAUACUAUCUGAAAUGUUCUCAUAGGACCUUAUGCUACAACAAAUAUUAUUCAAAGAGAGUUGAACUUUAGACCUCUGUGAAGUUCUGAUACCAUGUUGAGAACCGGUUCAUCUUAAACUUUGAGGUGUUGGAAGAAGGCUCUAAAUAGAUGUUAUGCUAUGUUUCAACAUAAUAUUAACUUAAUUGUUGUGAUUUUAUUUAUGCACAGGAGCUUCCGAUUCAUCAGAGAGCAGAUGCAGUAAGCAGUCUGGUUUACGAAGCCAACGCAAGGGUCCGAGACCCGGUCUACGGAUGCGUAGGAGCGAUAUCAUACCUGCAAAACCAGGUGUCUCAGCUUCAAAUGCAGCUGGCAGUGGCUCAGACCGAGAUGCUCUGCAUCCAAAUGCAACAAGAGCAGCCUCCCCUGCUACCACCUUCCAUGGAACCCAUCAGCGCUCAUGAUCUUAUCGGCGACGACAAAUCGAGUUUUUACAGCAAUAACAUGAUGCCUCAGUAUCUCAACUACUCAUCCUCGAAUUCUACCAAUGUAAUCCAUGAUUCUCUCAAGAGAGAGUCUUUCUUUGGGCAUGACAUGCAUGUUUCUUAAUUAAUUUAAUUUAUCUAUGCUUCAAUGUUGUUAAUGACUACUUAAUUAUCAAAUUCAUUGUUUUUUCCACAGAGCAAAUAUGCAAAUAAAGUCGCGCGUUAUGUAUUAGUUUAAGACUUGUGUCUUAAGCACAUGACUCACACAUCUGAUAAAUGCAGUAUCUAAACGGAUACUCCCUCCGUCUUCUUUUAUAUGUCAUUUUGAGAAAAAUUUAUCAGUAUUUUUCAAAUUUACUUACUCCGUCGUAUUUUAUAUGGGUGAAAUGAGUAAUAGAGUCAACUGUAGCAUGUGGGGUGGUGAGUUCGGAGCCUUGGAUAAAGGGCUUCUUCUGUUAAGUAAAUCAGUCUUAUGAUUAAACAAUUAGACCUUGUUUCAGUAUAUUAAUGGUGGACUAAUUAAUUUUAGUGUUUCUCAACUUCCUCAGUGUCAGACAUAUAUUCCAAAUGUUGCUAGACCUGAUUACAGUAGUGUUCUACUAAGGCUCUUCGCGCGAGUAAAUAAUACUACUGAGUUCUUAUUUAAAUCUUGUUCAGUCUGGAGUAUGUUUCAGUUGAUAGUGAGUAGGAUAGAUCACUAUAUAUUCUCGAUUUCUUCUUUAUAAGUUUUGUGGCUUUCUUAGAAAAUAAAAAUAAAAAAUACAGUGAAAGAAAACAUUCUCAGUAUGAAAACAAAUAUCAGAAAUUAUUAGAGGGCGACCAUCUAAUUAUACUUCUCCAGUUCUCCUUAUUGGAAUUUGCUAAUUUGCAAGGCAGAUAUAAUGUAAAUAUUUAAAAAUAAAUAUAUAUUAUAAAAAUAUGAUGUUCUUAUGUGAUAUAUAUAUAUAUAUAUAUAUAUAUAUAUAUAUAUAUAUAUAUAUAAUAUUCCAAAAAAUAUAAUAUUCUUAAUUAACGCAUAUAUGUAUUAAUAAGUUUUGUAUCUUAAUAGCAAGAGAGAUAGGAUUUCACCAGCAUGCAUCUGGCAGUGUACGUGUGCAAAUUUUUGUUUAUUCGAAGGUAAUCGUUGAUUAAGAUACGAGCAAAUAAGUAAUAAGUGGUUAUUCAAAUAAAAAUAUUAUAUCUUAACAUAAGUGGUUAUUUUGUAAAAGAAAAACCCACCGUGAUUAGGUGAAAUUCGAAAAUGGACACACAAAAUAGGUCAUAUCAUAUUAUCGUCACUUUUUAAUUAAAUAAUGAUAUAUUAAACAAUAAACCUAGCUAGCUAGAUAUCAAGUUCUAAAAGUUCAUGCAUGAACUACAGUCCUCUCAACGUGACAACAUUUCAGAAGUCAACUUAGAAAGCAAGUAGGUCACAAUUCUACAAGUAAUCUGGAUAUUGUCGGUUUACAUUUCUUAAUAUAUGAUAUAUAUAUCUUGCGCUUUAAAAUAUCUUGUUUAAAACAGCUUAAUUAUGAUGAAAUUUUAUUAUUAUUAUUACUCCUACUACUACUAUUAUUUGGAAUUUGUGAUUUGACUACAUUUUCAUUUAAUACUAAUACUUUGAAUAUUAUAUAAUUAAUUACAUAACUUAAAACUUUACACACAUAUAAACAAUUAUUCAAAUACAAAUUAAAUGAGAAUAAAAAUAACGGUUUCAUUUAUUUCGAAAGUGAGGAAGUUCAUUUUUUUUUUUUAGAAAAUAGAAAUUGCAAUAGCCGGCAUGGCAUAUUGGCAUGCAUGUGUUACAUGCAGGCAAGUCCGUGAGAACUGAGAAGAAGCUUCACGGGUUCUAAAAACUCAUUUCACAUACAUUAUACAAUUAUUAAUAUGAUGCGUUUGUUAUAUAAGACUAAGAAAGGUAUGAUACACAAAAAGUAGAGGAUAUAUAGGUGGUGUCUGUGUAUCACUUAAAAGUCAACUUAUGGGUUUAUAAAUUAUAAACACUUAUUCGUACCGUUUGUGUAAAAAGUCAAAAAACACUUAUAAAAAGUUUGGAUUACUAGUUUUUAUUUCAAAAUUUCUACUUUUUUCCCAAACACUUUAAUCACUUAUAAAUGUUGACUUACUUGUAACUUCUACUCAACUCACUUAUUUUAAGUUUAUCCAAACGGCCCCAUGAUAGUUAGGGGUGUGUGUAUCUAACCAGUAUUAAUAUGAAUGAAUUAAUAUGAAUGAUAUGCAGCUGGAAGGAAAGGGAUCGAUAGUGUAAAUUCAUUAAGCUUUUGCUAACCAGACAAGAGCUGAUAAAAGUAUAAUAAAAUAUAGAUUAGUGUUGAAAAUUACCUUAAUGACUCAUAAGUUGUCUGAGUUUACGCAGACAUGGAAAGAAAAUCUUGUGGUUUUAGCGUGUCCUAGAUGAAAGUUUUAGGGGUUAAUUUCGAGGGAAACUAACAAAUCAUUUGGAAAAAAUCGAAGCUUUGAAAAUCAUACUGCACGGAGAAACUUUGAUGCAUAAACAUACAAAAAAAAAUAUAUAGGAAGAGUUAAAAACAAAAAGUGGAGAACACUUUCAGUUUUGAGGGCUCGAGAACGAACAAAUCAUCCUAUGCAUAUUUCAGUUUCAACUUUCAACCUAUAUUAUAUAGCUUUUCUGUUUCGUCUGCUCUGACUCGUGUAUUUAUUUUCUCUAAUUUUGCCCCCCUUAACAUUGGUAUAUUUUGAGCAAUAAUUUUAUAUGGGGCUCCAAUUCGUUUUUUUUUGCAAGUGUGACAUGUUCAAUGAUGGAACCUAACGGAAUCUUUUUUCCUUUUUAAUAAGGUAUAUAAAAUAUAAUUUCUUAAUUUAUUUAUAAGAACUCCUUUUUAUUAAAAAAAUCAAUAUUAAUUUAUUUUAAAAUUAAAUUAUUAUAAAAUUAUAUUAUUAAAAAUCUUAAUAUAUGUUCAAGUCCUUAACCCCAAGUAUAAAGAAUUAAUUGUGACGAACUAAGUAACUGAUUUCGAAAUAAUAUAUGAGAAGUUGUACGCAUUCGAAUUCGUGUAAUUUCAACGGAAUCAUCUAGAAAAUAAUUGCAAAAUUUUGAGAAACUUUUGGCAGCAAUUUCUCACUCACAAUUGAGAAGCACGAAUCUCACUCACAAGUGUCGAGAAAUAGUUUGCACAUGAUGAGGUACAAAAAUUAACUUUAGUUUCAAACAAAUUAAUUUCGACAAAUUUUUCCCGACAAAUUCCUUCCAAAAUAUUUUGACAAUUUAUUUUCGGCGGUCAUUAAGGUCGUAGGAGCUGCGGUUAAACCUUUUUUUUUUCUUUUUUUUUUGAAUAAAUGACAAAUUUCAUUACUACGAAAUGUAUCAUACAUAAGAGUCUCCAACAACACAUCUCGAGGAGACGUAAACACAUUUUGACAAUUUAGAGAACACGUAAUUUAGCUACAAGAUGAGUUAUCCCACUCACUUGUCUUUUAACAAAGAAAACUGAAUAAUCUGAGUUCGAAUAUAAAAUAAGCUUGCAGACAAUCAAAAUAUGGCCAACUUCUAAGAGAUUUUCCUGAGGGUCUUGCAAAGCUCUAACAGCAAGAAGAGACUCUGAUUCAAUUAUUAGCAUCUCAUGAUUCAAUGUUAACAGCCACUUGAGACCUUCAAGGAUAACACUUGCUUCGGCUUCAAUGACAGUAGCCACCAUUGCUUUACAAAUCGUUUUACUUAUCACAAAAGCUCCCGCACUGUCACGGAGAACCAAGCCUAACGAGAAUGAGGCCUCACCCAGACGCACGGCUACAUCAACAUUUAGCUUGAGAACUCCAUCCUCGGGCUUUUUCCAUUUCACCAACGCAGUAGAAACAGAGCUCGAACUACUAACAACUUGAAUAACUCGCUUAGCUUUAGCCUCCUUCCAGUAAUAUUUCAAAUUUAUGUCAAAUAUAAUUUAUUGACAUUAGAAAAUUUUCUAGUACUGAUCUAAAUCAAAUUAGUUAAAUUAAUUUUUUUUCCUAUAAUGAGUCAUUUCUGAUUUUCUGUGAUAUCAUAUUACUUUAAAAAAAAACAAAUUUUCUACAUGUCUAGCGCUAAAAAAGCGCUGGAAAGCCAUAGUGAUCAUUUUUGAUCGCCCAUAUCAUAAGCACUAUGUCAUUGCACUACUUAAUUUCAAACACAAAAAAGCAAGCUCUCAGCUAAAAAAAUAUCUCUGCGAAGAUUGAUCUUUGGAACAAAGGUGCACACUUAAGUCUUUGGUAAUCUCUAACUUCUUUUUAAGCGUGAGAUGUGUAGAAAAAUCUAACUGUCUAGCAGUUUUUCAGCGUUGGAAGACAGUGUACAACGCUAAAAAACGCUGGACGUGUUUUAAAUCUAGACUGUCCAUGCCGCCAUCCAACGGCCGAAGUUGUGUGUGUUUUGUAAAAAUUCCUUAGCAAUCAUGUGUUGGGGACCUGGACCCGUGUAAUGAUAGUAAUGUGAUUGCAAUAGUGUGGUUGUCACUCGUCUCUGUUUGGUUUGUACUGAGUGGCUAAAGUUGCAUGUCACUGCUAUAUGGUCUAAUGGCCAAUGCCUGGGUUUUACUAAGGAAUGCUGAACUUAUGUUCUUGGUCUACAAAUGGCUCGUAAUCAAUUUUUAAGUCAGGUAGCUUUAUCUUAUGAUAAACUUGUGAUUAAUGGUCUCCCAGGGCUUGUAUUCUAAGUUUGAGUAACUCAUUCCCAACCAUACACAUGAAACAUUUCAUUGUCCAAAAAUUCAGGCAACCUUACAAUGUUCGUUAUAUCUGUUGAUAUCAUAAUAUUUGUCAUAUUUAUUUAUUUAUAACAAAUUAAAAUAAUAAUAGAUUAAUAUUUUCUAAAUAUAACCAACUAUUUCUAAAAUAUAGCCAAUCAAGAUACAAUACAUGUGUUUUAACAAAUUUUAUACAAUUAGUAAUUUAUAAUAUUUUAGUCAAUCAUUUUAACCACUUUGAAGAUGCUACGAAGCCAAAUUUGUUGAAAUAUUUUGCGGCAGGUUCAACAUAUCAGAAAAAUGACCAAACAAAAGUCUCUUUCUUUAAACCAGAACAAUCAACAAAGCACAGGCAUCCUAUCAACAUUUUUUCCCGCCAGUUUAAACGAUACACAUGUAGUGGGAGUUACAGCCUUAUUUAAUUAAGAUGCAAAUUCAGGACAUGGACCAGCUGCCUUGCUCAAUUAACAUGCAAAUUUUGGACAUAUGACAAGGUAGCAAGACUUGAGUUGACAUAAAUUACAAAAAGACUCAAAUCUCAUGCACUUUGUUCCAAAAGAUGUAGGAGACAAUUAGCAUCCAUGUCACAAGUAGCAUCUUCAUAGUUGUGCUGCAUUUGAAGUACUCUUCAUUCUUCUUCAAAUUAAUAGUUUCCAAUUGCUUCUUUACUUCUAGGUGAUCAAUCUUACUAAUCAAACCAGGUAUGAUUAACAGGGCACGAUCACACAAAGGGGGAUCCACCCAACGGAAAUAUUGACAUUGACCCUUGGCACAACCAGCAAAUCGAUGACCAGCAUUUGAAGGAGUCCAUGUCGUGUGUACCACAACCAAUGCGGGUUUCAAACACAGACACAGUUCUGCCAUUGGAGAUUGCAAUUGCUUGCCUAAAGAAGAAGAUAAAGUCCAAAUAUACAGAUGUUAUGUGUGUGUGAGUGUGUGUAUUGUUGUGAAUAUGACUUUUUAAAAGACUUCUACCAACUUAUACCUUCGCCAAAGUAAUGUUAAUGAUCAACAAUUGCCGGGAAACAGCUGAAAGGGUGUUAAAAGCAGUGUGUCUGACACUUAAAAGAUGCAGAGUGUAUUUUCUCAAACUAUUAGUACCAAAGUGAUAUUGAUCCAAAGCUAUGGGAUGCAAACUGCAAAUACCUCUUAUGUUUUAUUGUCACAUACAACAAGUUCAAAAUCUCUGUACAAAUUAUGACAUGCUCAGUGAAUAUACCACAUAGGCCCUCCUUUAAGCACAGAGGAUGAUCUUUAACUAACCUUCUACGUUUAACUGGAAAGACGGUGAACAAUCUAACUUCUGCAAAGUGCCAUCAAGACUGCAUACUUGAAUGAUGAAAUUUAGUCUAGAGAUACCAGAAGGAACCAUGAGAUCAGAUAUAUAAAAGGCUUCCACUCGUGCCAGUCCAAGAUAUUCUAGCCUUUCUUCAAGCAGUGCAUUUGAAUUUCUGACUAUUCCUUGUUUCUCAACAUAGAUAUUGUAGCUAGGGAACCAAGAAGCUGUUCCGUCUUUCAGUUUCCAAAUGAUCUUAACACUGACGGUCUUCGAAGCCUCGGAACCUGAAGUCCAUUUUAUGAACUGACCCUCAACUAACCAUGAUGCAUCAGGUGGGAAAUCUGAGUUUGUUGCAGAAGUUCUAAUAUCGAUAUGCCCCAGCACUGCAUUAUAUAUAGAUGGACUUUGAGUCACUAUUUCAUGGUUAACUGAGAUAUGUUUUGAUCUAUAACAAAUGAUAUGAAUCCCUGUUAAUGUGUAGCCCUCCAUUGCAAGACGGCUCUCUUGUAUCACCCAUCCUGGAGUUGCAUCUAGUCGUUUCACUUGAUGUGGCAUAAUUACUCUAUUAAACUUGCUAGAGAACUGCUUUGUGUUUAGCACGGAAUCACCCCGAGAAGCGAGUAGUAUUGAUGUCUUCUCCAACGCCUGAGAAGAAAACUUGAGAGAAAGGCCUACCAUAGAGCUCACAUCUGAUUUCACCUGCACAUAUUGUGCUAAUCAGCAGCAUAAACUGCAUAGGGGCUUUGGAUGUGUUAUAUAUACUCUUAGUUUGCACGACCUAGAGUAUGCAAAUCUCCAAAUAUCUUCCUAGACAAUAUUAGAAAAGCCACUCAAUAGAGAGUUGGAGGAAGCAGAAUAUUCAUAGGAAUUAAAAUCCCUUCUAAUUUAUGCUAUAUAAUCAUUUUAGCCAUUAAAUGUUAAAAACACAGAUAUUACCAAAACAGUUAAACAUCUAGUUCUAGGCAACAAUAAAGUUAAAUUUCAUUAAAAAAACAAUUUAUAAGGCUUACAGAAAAAGUAAAAAGGACCGGCAAGUUCCCAAAAAGCAGUUCUCCUUGAAAUAUCCUGGUUGUAAAAUAAGUAUCGCCAUCAAGAGAUCCUUUUAGCGUGAUGUUUCCUCCUCCAAUAUAAGACGCUUCAUUAAAACUACCAUUCAGAAGAAUAUACACAAGUUAACACAGAAGGUUAUUAUUUUACCACUAUGGCUUUAUCUAUGACGGCAAAUAGAUCGCACUUGACAAAAAAGUCAUGGGGCAAAAAAGUGGAUUGCCACUACAAUACAAUACUCCCUCCGUCCCUUUUUAGUUGUCACAUUUGCAAAAAACACACAUAUUAAGAAAAAUUAAAUGUUAUAAGUAGUUUCCAUGUAUGCCCUUAUUUAUUAUAUUAAAUACUAAGUCAUAAGUGUAUAUAUUGAUGGUAAAGUCAAACACUGGAACUAACAAUCAAGGGAUAAAUAUGGAAAAAUAUGUAUAAAUAUGCAUUGGAACAAGAAUGAGACAACUAUUUAGGGACAAAUUUCUUUUAGAAAUGUGACAACUAAAAAGGGACGGAGGGAGUAUAAUGUAAAACUACUACUACAAUUGCAGGCAUAUGAAAUAUCUGACGUCUCGCAUGUUUAUCACGUCUUUAAAUAGACGACAGUAAAAAAAAAGCAUUAUUAUUUAUUAACAACCACUUAGCCUUAUUUAGUUCAGGUCAAAUUACAGUAAGUGAUCCAUAGACUGGCAGUAAAGUUAUAUGAAACAUUGCGAUGUUGGUUCUACAUGUAACAUUAGUGAUCACUUCCUACCAUUUUAAUGGCACAUUAUUUACCAGAGCUAAAGUAAUCUGCAUAAAAUAAUCUCAUAACUUGUCAAGUUAGUUAUCACAUUCAUUUUAAACAAAGUUUGUCCUGCCUGGUGCAAAUAAGAUGUUAUAAGGUAUGCAGGAUGAUUAACCAUUUUCGUUUAAGACGUUACAUUAUGUUCUAAUCAACACCAGAUCAGAUAAGAACUAGAAAGUGCAGCACAUUUUUCAACCAUUAACUAAAGUUACUAUUUUUUUUUAAUUAUUAUUAUGACAAGUUGACAACUGCAGUAACAUCCAGUUGAAGAUAUACCGACACAGAUAGGCCCUCGUUCCAUCUACUAUCACUUCAUAAUAACCGUAAUCAUUACUCUAGUUCUACCUUCUUAGAAUUUAUAUUAAUGCUUCUAUUGUUGGCAUUUACUUUUAGCUUUAAUCAAUUAAUCAUGUGACUAAUAACAUAUGAAGCACUUCUUGAAAAGUUGCCUAGGAAAGGGGCCCACUAUAAAAAGUUACUGGGGCAGGUUGAGUUUUGUCUUUCCAGUGAAUUUAAUCUAAAGGGUGGAUAGAAAAGGGCCACCCUGACCAUACCCUUUCCCCAGUACGAUAUCUACUAGAAAGGCAAACCCAACACCUAUGAUAUUGGGAGGAAGCUCUGCAGCCUCCAGACUCUGGAAGGCCCCUGAAAACAUUUACAUCAACCACCAUUUUAAAUUACCUAAUUCAUGCAAUCAUUUGAAUUCCAGACUUUAUAUGUAAGUGCUCAUACAUACCAAAAACUGUAAGGAUAGAUCAUAGAUCGAUAAAGCUUACUCUAUAGAAACUUGAAUUGCAUUUGGUCUCUGAUCUUCAAGACAAUCUAGAAGAGGCUGUUAAAACAAGUUAAAUAUCAGAAGAUUGAAUGAAUAAAGCAUCCAACUUUCUGAAACAAGAUAGUUAACUAAAGCAUGAUGCCAAGAUUUAACACUGGAUAUGCAGCAUUUAGACAUUACUACAUAAUAUUUAGUAAGAUAAAAUAUGAUCCAAGUAAGCGCUUCUCAAAAAACCACAAAGUUUUAGGAAGCUUGUAACUUAACAUGGUAUCACAACUUAGAUUAGAGGUCACAAGUUCUAAUCCUUCUACCCCCAAUAUUGUCAUAUAUUUUAAUCUGAACACUAAGGUUUAUAUUGCCCUAACUGAUUCACUCUUCAACCCAGAUAUGAGCUCUCAAGGAGGGAUACAAAUAUUAUAUAUGAUCUAAUUAGGUCCUCCUAACACCUUAAGAUAUUAGGAGAGGGUAACUUGAUAUAUUCUUUAAAUAAUUAAAUACUUACAGAUCUAAUUAUUGUAGAUACAGUCAGAUCCUUUCCCUUUCCCUGUCCAUCCUUAUUAAAGGACCAACUCUCCUAAAACCUAAAGAAUUUGGGAAAAACCCUCCACAUAAGUCUUAUACCUUUAACACUACCCUCAAUUGAUAGUCUAUACUUGUGAGUCAAAAGUAAAUAAAUCAAUAAAACCCAUCUUUUGGGGCAAAAAUCAGCCUUAGAGCAUCUCCAACGGCGUUGGCUAUAAUCGUUGGCUAAAUUGGACCUGUAAGACAUUAUGUAAAAUUUGCUGAACCUGUAAGACAUUUUGCUUCAAUGGUAUCGGCUAUAUUGAUUGGCUAUAAUUUAAAAAUAGUAUGUUAUUAAUAUUUUAGAUUGUUAAAAUAGAAUAUAUCAGUUCAAUAUGAUAAUAAAUGAUGUGCAAUCUUUCCUACAGACCUGUAGAGGUUCGACAAAUUUAGCCAUCCAUGGGAGGUUGGCUAAAAUUAUAGACAACAGCUGAGUAUGGUUGGAGUAUGAAUUUUUCGAGCUAAAUUUUUUAUUUUUAGUAUGCCAACUCACAUUUUAGCUAAGGGCUUUCAAUGGUUGGAGAUGCUCUUAGCAUCUAUAUCAAAUUUUAAUAGUUUUGAGAAUGUCAAAGGAGGCGUCAGGGUCCAAAGUUGAGAUUUUCGGUAUACCUAAGCUCUAAUACCAUAUUAAAUUAGCAGUUCCCCCAAAACCCCCGAUAUGUUGGGGAAAACCCCUAAAUUAAGCUUAUUAUAAUGAAUUCAUUUUCAAGAUUGUUAUAGCUUUAGAAGUAGCCCAAUAAAUUCUUCCGUUCUAUGAAGUUGCAUGUUGUUACAAGUAUAGGAUCAACUAAAGGUUUUGGGAGAACUGCUCGUCUAAUAUGGUAUCAUAUAUUAGUUUGCCGAGAGGUUUCAAAUUUGACUGUAAGGAAUCCAGUACCUCCAAAAUUGUCAAAAGUUAACUAAACAAUAAGGCUGCUUCUUUACCCCAAAGAUAAGCUCCUAGAUGCACUUCCAAUCCUAGACAUGGGCUUUCCAUUUAGUGGCAUAUUUUAGUUUGUCGACUAACACGUGUGACUUUUACUAAUUCAUUGUCAUCUAGUUACUAACCAUGCAUCUUUAUAUCAUGGAUACAUAGGUUACUCAGUCAGUAACGAAUUCUAUCUUUACUUGUACAUAAAUGCAAUCUGACUAAAUAUAUUUACAAAGUGAUAAGAAAACUGAUGUUACAUCCUAGUGCUGUCGGACUUAGAUCAAAACUAAAGAUGUUAGAUAAUUGGUGCCUACAGCAUACCUGAAAGCUUUGGCAAGAGAUGUUGUUCCAAGGUUUAGUUGAUAUUUUCCUUCCGUCCAUGAAAAUGUGGUAACCAUGACCCUGAAUAUGUAAGGGCAGAGAACACUUUUGUGUCAAUGGAACAUUCUUUGGUCUAGGCCACACAUAAUAGUUGCAACAGAGUAUUCAGAAAUUACUAACAAAUCAGUACUUAAAUUGUCAAUAUAAUUAUCAUUACAGUAUAAUGUAGCUGUUAUUUAGUAGUUGUAUAUAGCUGCUAUUUACUAGCUGUAAAUCAGUGAUUUGUGCAGUUGUAUUAGGCUUGACUUAGGCUAAUAAUUGGGGAUUCUGUAGGCUGAUUUCCAGGCAGAUAUAGUGAGAUCUGCUUGCUGAUUUUUAGCGCUAAUUAGCUCUGCUGUACCUAUAAAUACAGGAGCUUGUUUGUAUAACAAAUCAUCGGAGAAAUAUAAGCUUUUUCUCAUAUCUUUGUCAUGGUAUCAGAGCUGGUUAUUUGAAAAUCUGCUCUUGUACUUCUUGUCCACCUUAAUAAUCAGUGUUUUUUUUUAGUCAUCUUUCUUGGAAUUCAUCUCUUGGUUCUUGUUUUUUUUCGAAUCAUGUCAUUGGAGCAAUCUAACAACUUUCUUGUUCGUUUUAAUGGGAAGAACUACUCUGCUUGGUCUUUCCAAUUUGAGAUUCUUGUCAAGGGAAAAGAAUUAUGGGGCUUUGUUGAUGGAACGGAAUCUGCACCUGACUCCAAAGAAAAGGAGAAACUUGCGAAAUGGAAGGUGAAGGAUGCUCAGAUAAUGUCUUGGAUUCUCGGGAGCAUGGAACCGUCUAUGAUUCUCAAUCUCAGGCCUUACAAGUCUUCUAAAGAUAUGUGGGGUUACUUGAAGAAAGUUUACAAUCAAAGCAACGCCGCCCGACGUUUUCAAUUAGAGCUUGAGUUGGGACAACUAAGUCAGGGAAGCAUGACAAUUCAAGAGUUUUAUUCUUCUUUUGAGAAUUUGUGGAAUGAAUACACUGAUAUUGUGUAUGAGAGUGUUUCUGCUGAAGGACUAGUUGCUGUCCAAAGUGUACACGAGACGAGCAAACGUGAUCAGUUUUUAAUGAAAUUGCGGGGAGAUUUUGAACCAGUCAGGUCCAACCUCAUGAAUAGAAAUCCAGUUCCUUCAAUCGAUACUUGCAUAGGUGAGCUUUUUCGAGAAGAACAACGGCUCAUGACACAAACUUUCAUCGAUCAGAAAUCACAGAAUUCUUCUCCAAUUCCUGUUGCAUAUGUUGCCCAAGGAAAGCAUAGAGGUGGAAGAGAUAUGAGUAAUAUCCAAUGCUACAGUUGCAAAGGAUUUGGACAUGUUGCUACUAAUUGCACUAAAAAAUUCUGCAAUUAUUGCAAGAAAGCUGGGCAUACUAUUAAAGAUUGUCCAAUCCGGCCUCCGAAGAAAUCUGAGACUGCUUACAAUGUCUCAGUUGGAUCCUCAAAUGCUCCGAACUUUGGUCAGUCCUCUGUUACUCCUGAAAUGAUCCAGCAGAUGAUAGUUAAUGCAUUUUCAACUUUAGGAAUUUCAGGUAACAAAAAUUCUGCCCAUAAGCCUUGGUAUUUUGAUUCCGCUGCUUCAAAUCACAUGACUAGCACAACAGUACCCCUAAAUAAUGUUCAAAAGUAUAAAGGGGAUCUUCAUAUUCAAACUGCUGAUGGUAACUCUUUACCUAUUACUGCUGUUGGUGAUAUUUCAACCUCUCUGAAUACAGUUUUUGUGUCCCCAAAGUUGUCUACUAAUCUUAUAUCUGUUGGCCAGUUAGUUGAUAACAAUUGCACCGUUCAAUUUUCAAAUUCUGGUUGUUUUGUGCAGGAUCAAGUGUCAGGGAAGAUGAUCGCGAAGGGGCCUAAAGUGGGACGUCUCUUUCCUUUACUCCCAUCACCUUCUCUAGUGUCAAAUUAUGUCUCUUGUAAUGCCGUUGAUUGUAAUAAUCAAGUGUGGCAUAAGCGGUUAGGACAUCCAAAUUCUCAUGUUCUUAGUAUUUUACUUAAAUCUGGUUUGCUUGGGAAUAAAGUUUCGAAUUCUUCAAAUACAGACAAUAUUCAUUGUGCAUCUUGCAAACUUGGUAAAAGCAAAACACUUCCUUUUCCAUCACGUAAAUCUCACACCACCAAAGCUUUUGAACUUGUGCAUACAGAUGUAUGGGGUAUUUCACCAGUGGUAUCUCAUCAACAUUACAAGUAUUUUGUAACUUUUAUAGACGAUUUCUCUCGUUAUACUUGGGUAUAUUUCCUUCGAUAUAAAAGCGAGGUCUUUAAAGCAUUUCAAACUUUCCAUGCUUUAAUCGAGACACAAUUUUCUGCAAAAAUCAGAAUUUUGCAAUCUGAUUCGGGUGGUGAAUAUACAUCAAAUGAAUUUCAAUCUUUCCUUCAAAAUCAUGGAAUCAUAUCACAACGAUCUUGUCCAUCAACUCCACAACAAAAUGGUGUGGCCGAGAGAAAGAAUCGUCAUCUUCUUGAUGUCGUUCGAACUCUCCUCAUCGAGUCUUGUGUUCCAUCUCAUUUUUGGUGUGAAGCCCUGUCUACUGCUGUUUAUUUGAUAAACAGAUUACCAUCUCCCACCUUAAACAAUGAAUCUCCCUACCUCCGUUUAUAUGAAGAUGCACCAGAUUAUUCUGAUCUUCAUAUUUUCGGAUGUGUUUGUUUUGUUCUUCUUCAGCCACAUGAAAGGAACAAACUUACUGCACAAUCUGUCAAGUGUGCUUUUUUAGGAUACGGUGGUACCCAAAAAGGUUUUCUUUGCUAUGAUCCUAAUACUCGUCGUAUUCGUGUGUCUAGAAAUGUAAUUUUCUUUGAAAAUCAGUCAUUUUUUUGCACACAAAUGACUUCACAACUCCCAUCGAUAGCUAUAUUGCCUCAUUUUCCCGAGUCAUCAGCCCCAUCACAAAGAUUUAAACCAGGUCAUGUUUAUCAUAGACGCACAUCUCCCACUAUGGCUCCUGCGACUCUUUCGGACGCACCUGAUCCUGUUCUACCGAGUUCCAAUGAUCCACCUCCUGUUCGGAGAAGCUCUAGAAAUUCAAAACCUCCCGACAGGUAUGGUUAUACAAAUCCAGUAGCCAUGUCCACUACUUUAUCUCCCAUCUCUAUUCCCACUUGUUAUAAACAGGCUAUGGAACAUGAGUGUUGGCAACAAGCAAUGGAAACAGAACUUCAAGCUCUUGCAGAAAAUCAUACUUGGGACGUUGUUUCCUUGCCUCCAAAUGUUAAGCCAAUUGGUAGCAAGUGGGUUUAUAGUAUGAAACUCAAGUCUGAUGGCUCAUUAGAUCGAUACAAAGCUCGGCUGGUUGCACUUGGCAAUAAACAAGAAUAUGGUAUCAACUAUGAAGAGACAUUUGCACCAGUUGCUAAAAUGACCACUGUAAGAACCAUUCUUGCUGUUGCUUCCUCUAAAUCUUGGCCUUUACAUCAGAUGGAUGUCAAAAAUGCUUUUUUGAAUGGGGAUCUUAAAGAAGAAAUUUACAUGAAACUUCCACAUGGCAUGGCAUGGAUAGCUCCAAAUAAAGUUUGCAGGUUAAGGCGCACUUUGUAUGGGUUGAGGCAGUCUCCUAGAGAAUGGUUUGAUAAGUUUCGCCAUACUCUCAUCAACUUCUCUUUUACACAAAGCCAAUAUGAUUCAUCUCUCUUCUUUCAUAAGACACAAGAAGGUAUGGUCUUUCUUCUGGUCUAUGUCGAUGAUAUAAUCAUCACAGGCAGUGACACUGUGCUCAUAUCAAAACUCAAGAAUAUGUUGCAUAGUACAUUUCAAAUGAAGGAUCUUGGGGAUCUUAAGUAUUUUUUGGGUCUAGAAGUUCAUUCUCGAGAUCAAGGUAUAUUCUUAAAUCAGCAUAAAUAUGUCAGAGAUCUUAUUGAGUUGGCUGGUUUAAAGGAGGCUACUGCUGUUGAUACACCAAUGGAAGUGAAUGUUAAAUAUCGAAAAGAUGAAGGGGAGCUUUUGCCUAAUCCUUAUUUAUAUAGACAAUUGGUUGGUAGCCUCAUCUAUCUAACAAUUACUAGGCCUGAUAUCUCAUAUGCUGUCCAUAUAGUUAGCAGAUUUAUGCAAUCACCUCGGCAUCUUCAUCUUGUUGCAGUGAAGCGUAUUAUUCGAUAUUUAAUUGGGUCACCUACGCGUGGUCUAUUCUUUCCAAAAAAUUCUGAUCUUCAUUUGACAGCAUAUAGUGAUGCUGAUUGGGCUGGAUGUCCGGAUACUAGAAGAUCUACAACUGGAUGGUGUACUUUUCUUGGAGAUGCAUUGAUCUCUUGGAAGUGUAAAAAGCAAGAUCAUGUCUCAAAAUCUUCCACGGAGGCUGAAUAUAGAGCCAUGUCUGCAGCUUGUGCUGAAAUUGUUUGGUUACGUGGCCUUCUUUCCGAGCUUGGAGCUUCUCAAAUUAAUCCUACUCCACUCCAUGCUGAUAACAAAAGUGCCAUUCAGAUAGCUUCCAAUCCAGUAUUUCAUGAACGAACAAAACACAUCGAAGUUGAUUGUCAUUAUAUCAGAGAUGCAUUUACUCGUGGUGUUAUUGAACUUCCUCAUGUUAGUACUAAUCUUCAAACAGCUGAUGUGUUUACAAAAGCUUUGACACGUCAACGGCACAAGUUUCUUAAUGGCAAAUUGAUGCUACUAGAUUUACCAGCAUCAAUUUGAGGGGGGGUGUCAAUAUAAUUAUCAUUACAGUAUAAUGUAGCUGUUAUUUAGUAGUUGUAUAUAGCUGCUAUUUACUAGCUGUAAAUCAGUGAUUUGUGCAGUUGUAUUAGGCUUGACUUAGGCUAAUAAUUGGGGAUUCUGUAGGCUGAUUUCCAGGCAGAUAUAGUGAGAUCUGCUUGCUGAUUUUUAGCGCUAAUUAGCUCUGCUGUACCUAUAAAUACAGGAGCUUGUUUGUAUAACAAAUCAUCGGAGAAAUAUAAGCUUUUUCUCAUAUCUUUGUCAUAAAUGCCACAGGAAACACCAAUGGCCUAAAAUCUUAAUCAUGUACCUCACUGUAUGCUACUUAAAAUUAAUUAUUUGGGAUAUUUUGUUGCCCUUUCAAUAACGGUAAGGAAGGUUCUUAAACUCACUAUUCUUUUGCUUCAUUAAAAAUGCCCAAAAUCCAUGAAAUAUGGUUAUAAUUUGGUAUAUAAUUUAGUAACUAUCUUAUAAUUUCACAUAUGCUUUUUCUUGCAAGUGUUGGGCUCUAAUUGAAUAAAUGAUACCUCUUAAUCAAACCAACUAUACAAACUCCAGUAAAUUAAUUGCCAAACUGGAGGGGAACGAGCUUUAAAGGUUACUGAAGUAAUUAAAUAAAAGGAGUCGAGGAAAAUAAGGCUUCAUAACAAUUAGUACCUGAUCAAAGUUCGAAUAAAAUGGAAGUGAUUUAGGGUACUUUUGUGAUACUCCCCAUGAAUUCUCAACAAGUCCCCACCAUCUGCAUAUCCAACACAUGCCUCACUAUCAAUUCAUAAGGUCAACCAAACAUUCUGUAAAUCAAUAUGGAAAAUGACGAACAUAUUCAACUCCUUGUAGUAGCCCCUGUUCAACAUAUCAAGACUGGACAAAGAAGUAAAAGAGUGGAAGGGCUGGAAAAUGAUCAUUCUUAAUGACUGCUACCAACUGGCAUUUUAUGUAUCAUAUAUAGGUGGAGAGAGGUGCCCUGAUAUCUCAGACACAACUAAGUAUACUACUUUAAACACCCAGCACAGUGUUGAACAUAAAAUUGCUGCUAGUUGAAGUUAGCGAAGGAGAUGAGUGAUUUACCGGUUUUGAGCCGUCUGAAAAUCAGGCGGCUGAUUUGUCUCAAGUACCCAUCCAGGUGCAAAGAUAGCAGCUGACACAUUAUCUUUCUUUAUUACAUCAAGUGCAACAUUUGUCUGAAUAUGAAAAAGAAUUAUCAUUCAAACUGGAUUUUACUUGUUCUCGAAAAAAAAGAUUGGUUAGACUGUCCACAGUAACUUGCCUAAGUUUAGUAUGUAUUGUGGAAUGUGAUAUUUCGAAACUUGUGUUUUAAUUAAUCUGAGCUUUCAAAUUGUAUGUUACUCUUAAAUUAAGUACCAGAUAUUUAGUGACACCAGGUUAGCAAUGGAGAAGCUGGUAACUCAUUGACCGAGUUACAUCAAUUUAUAAAACUUAGACCUUGCUGAAAAUAAUUAUAUUAUAUGGACUUCACAUAAUAUUACAGAAAACUCUACUUUUCCUGCUGAACAUCGUCGGACUAAAACGAUGAAUGUCAUUGUGAAGAAAAGAGUACACAUUAAAGUGAAUACCACAAGCAAAAGAAGAGUUCCCUACAUUAUAGACGUACACAAAGUUCUGAUGUCAAUAUACUGCUUGAUGAAGCGCCAUGUGAUUGAUGAUCCUUGGUGAAUGUGACGAUAAUGAUAGAUAUGGACUCAUAUACCCUAAAAAGUUCAAUAGUUGAAUUGGCAAUCUCUUUAGCAACUAGACACUGUAAAAUACAUAUCAUUGCUACGGAACAUGGCUAUAUAGGUUUAUAUGGCAUCUUUUUUUGUUUUUUUAAUGGUUGAUGUUCUAAACCCAAACUGUGAAUAAGGUAUUAGAUGAACAUAUUCCUUUCACUUGCAUGUCUACUAAGGUAGUGCUAGUUUUUACAGUAAAUGCAACAUUUCGAACUUGACGCUGUAUAACAUAUAUAUCACUGCAAAGGAACAUGGCUACAUAUAUUUGUAUGUUACUAUUAAACAUUUGAUAUUCAAAACGAAAUUGUAAAUAAGCUACUGUAUGAACCUAUUCUUUUUACUUGCAUGUCUCUUAAAGGAACAUGUGUGCUAGGUUUAACAAAUAUAUCUGACGAAGCAAGGCCUCUGUUUAAUGUAAGACACAAAACUUAAAACUUUUAACGUACUGUCCACUGUCCACCACCAAAGGUUCCCCUUCCAAAUACAUCAAUACCCAUGUACACAUCAAAUUGUCUGCUACCAGCAACAUCAGCUGAGAGCUUAGGAUAAUUGGCCUGCGUAUGAUAGACGAAAUACUUAACAAGAUCUAUUGAAAGACAAAUUCAUGAACACCAUAUAAUUAGCAGCAACAACAUACCUUCCAUGUAUAGUUAACAAAAAUGCCAUCACAUGCAUCAAAAAAGGGCUUGUUGCUGUCAUUUAGAUGAUCCUGCCACUCAAGUUUUCCAAAAACAGUAACACUAUCAUACCUACAGCAAGGACAUAAGUCACAGAACUGAACUAGAUAUGACAAAAUCAAUAUAAGGUUAUUAAAAAGGAGACGACAGAUUAGAGCUUAAUAAAUCUUAAUUCAGGAAACGUAUUGAACCUACCAUAUGACUAAAGACCCAUCCUUCGAAGAGUGCAUAGCAUAAGUUAAGUGGCUAACAAAUUCCUUUAAAUUAGGAAUUUGUUCAAUGUCUACUUCUACUUCCAUGUUGAUCUGCAAAUAUAUAGAAGAUUAUGGACAGUUAUUGACAGACUUGUAAAAAGUUAAGAGAGGAAAUCUUCAAGGGUAGAGUGUAGUCAAGAUUACCGAAAGUAAAAAAAGUCUCAAAUCAAGAGCUCAUAUUAAUUCGAUCUCAAUAUUUGUCUGCCUAUAUUUUCGAAACUUCGAUAAUACAUACAACACUAUGUGUUUUAUGUGAGAAGCUAUGCAUUAGCUGAAGGGAGUAUAUGCUUUACACUAUGACAACCCAAUACAAACAUUUGGAUUACAUAUUAGAGUCGAUUCAAUCCUGAUAUGGUCUUUAAAGUCCAAUACAUCUAUACUUUAUCUUAAACGAGAGUACUUGGCUUCGCAACACGUUGAAGCUCAGUAGAUUAAAAAAACAAUACAAAUAUUACAUACUGCGGCUAAUCUAUUAGUUAGCUCAGACAAUAAAUUGCAAGUGUAUAGAAUACAAAUAGCUAUACCAUCCGAAUAAUACUGAAAUGUCUAUAGAAAGGGGCUGUUAGGGAUCAUGUCGUAAGUCCGAAACUUAGACGGAUGACAGAAUUUUCAAAUUAAUCAUGACAAAUUGAAAAAGGACAAGUACUUACCAACCAUCCAUCAAAGCCAAGGGAAACAGCAAGCUCAGUCAAGCGCUCCGCAUACAUGUGAGCAGACUCCUUUGUCUCAAGCAGUUUACGAGUAAUAGCUUUCCCUUCAUCCCACUCGGUAAUAAAAGUACCCAGUACCUUAUUUCACACAACAUAUAAAAUUAAAAUCGGAAAUAUUUACGGGUAUACGGGUAAUCGUAAUACACAAAAAAUUAAAACUAGAAUAUUGAUAUGAGUUUGAUAUUAGAAGAUGAGUACGAAAAACAUGCUAAAGAAAAGAAUAGGAUCACGUACAUUUGUACUCCUCGAAGUUCUAUCAUGUGUAUACAGUAUAUAAGAACCCUUUUUUUUUUAUAUCUUAUAUGCUAGCCUCCAUCUAUGCAAUGCACUUACAUUUCAUAAUAUUAUUUUAAUAUUUAAAUAAUAAAAUAUUAUACGUAAAUUAAAAUUCUUUUGACGAAAGUAAAAGAAUUUCACGUCUAGAUCCCCUUCCAGUUCAAAUUAUACGUCUAUUAGUAUGUCUUCUGUCUAUCUGCUAGCAGGAGUGGUUGAUGGGUGUUUAUAGUAGAUGAUCCAUAAAGUGGUUUUUCUAUAUUUUAAUAGAGCUAGUUGAUAAGUAUAUAUUGAAUGAAUAUGUAAAAUGUUUGUAACAGAUAGCUUUUUUUACAAAUUUUCUAAAUAAAUAACAUGUCAAUUUGUUGUAGUUCCAAUGGUUCCGAAUGUAGUAGAAGAUCACAACUAAACAUCUUAUAUCUUAUAUAUUGUACUAGUUGGCAAAAUUGAAUAUUCAGACCUCUGCAGCUCGAGACAACAACAGACCAAAAAUCUCUAUUUCUCACAAAAUGAAUUUGACCCUUUAACCUUAUCAAUUGUACAGCAACACCCAACCCUUAAAGCUGUCAAAUGUAUAUUCCAAUAAACGAAAAGCAAAAACCAGCUUAGUCAUCACCAAAACAACAAAACCAACAUACCUCAUUCACAACUAUAUCAAAACCUAAUAGCCACCAUUAAAAAAACACACCUUAACACCAUGCAAGUGUGCAGCAUUAACCCAACAAGGAGGCGGCAAAGUAACCAAACUAUGCGAAAAAUACACAAACACAUCCAUCAAAUACCAAUGCCAAAUGGCAUAAGCAUCCGGGUUAUCCCCACCUUGCACCCACUUAUCAUCACCAUACCCACCAGCCAUAUCAUGACAGACCAACAAUCUCGGCCUCAUCGGCAAACUCUUCUCUGCGGCAUUUGAUCGAACACCUUGUGUGCAACCCCAAGAUUUGUUAAAAGGGUAGUGAAACGAGUCAAAAUAAGACCUGGACUCGAGUUCUUCGAGGGUUUUGAUUGGAUAAGAGAUUGGUGAAGAGGGUCGGGAGGGAUCAAAUGGGGGUGGAGUUGGGGUGGGAGUGCUCAUUUUGGUGGGGAAGAAGAUAGAUGCAAUGCUUGUGUGUAUUAUGGUGUAGAUGGUUUUGAGGGUGAUGAGGGUUUGGCGGUUUAUAUAGGCGCGAAAUGGGAUCUGCAUUGAAGUUGAGUUAGUUGACUUCAAAGACUUUAACUAGCUGUGUUUAUGAGUGGCAAAUUUGAAGAGCAGUAACAGGUUAGUUCAAGACUUUAAGUUGAGUUAGUUAGCUUUUGUGCUUUGUUUCGUUUAAUUGGAAAGUGGAUUGUUCAUUUGUGGAAUUCUCGAAUUUAGUCGAAGUUUAUUCAUGUAUUGAUUGAUCGUAUAGUGAAAUUAAGAUGAGUGAAACUCAUAUUUAAAAAAUAUAUUCAAACGUGUGAAAUAUAAUAUUAUAGACUGCAUGAACUUUUUUUUUGUGGGAAUUUGUAUACUAAACUUUGUUUUCGUAACAAGUAGGCAUACCAAAACACUUCUUCUUUUUGUAAUUUUAGUAUUUUACCAGUGUUUUUUUACACUUUAAUUUUUAUCAUCUUCUUUUCUACGGUAAGUGCGUAACAUGUUAAAAUCCUCCGUCUUUUCUCAAAUUAUUGAACUUUUAGCACACUCUUUUCAAUAUUUUUAAUCAUGUGGUAUUUGAAAAUGCAUGCGAAAAUCUAAAUAUAUAUAAUGGAUAUUUGUAAAAAAAAAGAAGAAAUAAUUCGGUUUUAUCGAAAAUUAUGAAGCAUCUAAAAAUACAUGCGAAAAUUCAAUUAUCUGUAAAAAAAAUAUUUGUUAAAAAUGGGGAGAUCUAUUUUAUCGGUUCCAUACUGUCUCAAUACACGUGUCUCACGCACUCCAUUAUUAACUCACGCAAUUCAAGAAACGUAGCAUGUAUUCAACACUUUUUAAUACUACCCGGAUAUGCCUCUCAGCUGCCCCGGAUUUCAGUGUCCCUCACAUUGAAAUGAUGUGUUAAUUUGAUGGCUCUGCAUUUUAAUACUCCCUCCAUCCCAAAUUAAAUGAGCUAGUUGACUUUAGGCAUGUAACUUAAGGUGCAUUGACCGACUAGUUCUGAUAUUUAUUUUUUUAAAUUUUCUUUUGUAAAUGAAAAUUUGAUAUUUAAAUUUUUAUUUGCAAAAAUAAAAUUUUAAAAUUAUGUAAUGUGGCUAUGCGGUCAAUGGAUUUUAAAGUGCGUGUCCGAAGUCAACAAGUUCAUCUAAUUUGGGAUGGAGGUAGUAUUACAAACGGUUUUUAUAUGGUGUGCCGAUAUGCACACCAUAAGUACUAAAUUUUAUGAGUUUAGUGUAUUUUUAUUGGUCAUCCAAUUAUAAACAUGGAUGGUUCCCUGCAUUCACAUCAAUUCAACCAAUCAAAAUCCACCAAACUCAUCAAAUUUUGUGUAUAUUGUGUACGUUAGGCACAUUAGAAAGAUCCUAUUACAAAAUCUGUAAAAUGACAAAAUUAAGUAAUGUGCGAAUCUUGUAAAAGCUCUUGCAACAAAAAACAAACUUCAACUAUCAACUUCGUGUAAAAUUGUCGAAUGCUAACAAUCUUUCAAGACUAAGCAAAAAUUGAAUACUUCAAUUCCCCAUCUUCGACAAACCUUGUGUUAAGUCAUUGUUCAUAAGAUCUGAGAUUUUAUUUUUUUUCCCUCUAGCUAUUAAUUUGUUCUAUUCCAAUACCAAAUGUAUGUUCCAGAAGUUUUUAAAAUUUUGUCAAGACAAAAUGACACUGUACAUCCUCUCCUUUGAAUUAGAGUUCAAUCAGAGGAACUUCAGUGGCAAGGAAUAUGAAGUCGUCAGCUACCUUUAUCCUAUAUUCCAUACAAUACGGAUAACAUGGAAUACGAUUCGCCUUCAUGCAUUUUAGAAUAUAUGCAUGCGAAACAUUUUAUAAAGUGAAGGAGAAAAGGGAAUAAAGUGAAGGAAAAAAAGAAUGCUCAUUUUGCUCGAGUGAUUAAACCAAUAGAGGCUAUUUUUAACUUCAUCGCAGAGAAAUUCCGAGCAGAGAAAUUCCGAGUACGGUGAUGAGACUGAGCUGAAUGGUUAACGGCUAUCUAUAAAAGUGUACAGGAAAAGAUGGCAAAGACACCUUAGCACGAAAUGGAAAUUCCAGUUGUUGCAACUACAAUAAAGAACAUGAAACAGCACAUGAAUUCAAUCAUAAUGUACUAAACGUGUCGAAACAAAUAAACAAAACUUGCAGCAAACUGGAAUUGAUAUAACUGUCUUUAAUGUCUGAAAUUAAUACAUUGAUAUAUGGAUACACUUAGAAACUACUAUAUGAUAAGCAAAGCAAAGUUAUCAGUCAACCAAAAGUAGCCCUUACCUAGAACUGACAACACAUUUGCCGGUAUGUGAAGGACAGCAGAAACUCUCUACAGCAUGACUUGUCUGCAGUUGAGCCGGCCUAUAAUACACAUCUUUAACUGGAUAGUACAGCACCUAUAUGUUUCAAAGAUCUUCAGUUCCUGUCAACAUCGCAAACUCGUUUUCAUCUAUUGCUCCUUUUUUCAGCUUCUUCAACAGGCGAUAAUCCCUUGUCAGUUCAUCAUCAUCUUCAGCAGUCUGAACAGCUCUUCUCUGCUGGGCUGUUUUCUUCCUAUUCACUGUAGUUGCAUUUUUUAAUGACAAUUUGGGCUUCUGCCGUUUUGGUUCUAGUUCUUGUUUUGCUUUUUUCUCCUGCAGGUUCUUGUUUCUUUGUUUCUGACGAGAUUUGUCCCUGCAAGAUCAAGUUCCCAACAGGGUUAGAUGUUAUACGGUGUUCAAACUUCAAACUGGGAUACACUAAGAGGUAGUAUGUACAAGCAUGACAUAGGCACGAUCGCUAUACGGACAAGGUAACAGACGAAAUAUAUUCUCUCAUAUAUUCUCUCGUACAACUUUGAACUUUACUUUCUUCUUGAAAAACAGCAACAAGCUUCAAUAACUCUAUAAUUGAGUGAACAGAAAUUAAAGGGAACAUAUAGAAGACUCUUAGCACAGGAGCACAAUGCAGUGAAUUUAUUUAGAAAAACUCACUUGAACUUGAUGUCUUCAAGAUUGACGUUUUGCUCUGGUAUAAAACCCUCGGUUGAAAUUGAGUGAUGCUUCACAUCGGGAAUUGAGGGAAGCUUCAACAAGCCAAAUCCCAUACCAAGUCUCCCAAUUUCAAGUUCUUUAAACCUAUAGACAGUAAAUUGGUCAAACAGAUGUAAUACAAAAAAUAAACAAAGGAAAGAAACUCAAAUGAGGACCGACCAAGACCUGCAUAUUACCUAAAUAUGUAGGAGCAAUGGUGCUCUUUGUAUGCGCGUACAUAAGACACGAAUGCCCUAAGUCCUUUUUCCAUAACAUCACGGUCUUUUUUGGCAGCAGUACGAAUCUGAAAGAGAUUUUAGCUUAUUUUAAAGGGAAGUCAUUCACCAAUAAUCAGAACUCACUGGACCAAGUCCUAAAACAAAAAUAUAGAGAUAAAGGAAUAAACAAACCACCAAUUCAACACAGACGUGAAAGUUGGGUUAUAAUUUUCGAGAUAAGAUGCAUCUGACCUAUGAGCUAAGAUGAUAUCAAAAUCCCACCAUAUCUUCCAAGUCAGAUCUGUUGUGACUUCACUAAAAGCUUCUAAUUUAACCUUCUAUUCUCUUUUUUAAGCUCCCUAUUUAAGAAAAGAGCAUAUCAAAUUUUUCAAUGGUGGAUUAUAUGGCACUAGAAGUCACUUGCAGAACAUCUCUGUAUUAGGUCCACAAGUACAACUAGCAACAUACAUGAUUACACGUCACUAUCAGGUUGGGCCUUAAAGCCAAAAAAUUUACUAUUAAUGCCUAAAUUGAUGCAUCAAAAUUAUUCAAUAUAUAUCCAAACUAUGCGCAUGGCAUGAUUAAAGAAGUAAUCAACCCACUUGAUAAAAAUACUUCCUCAUGUGUUCUUAUACAAAGAACAGUCUUCUACAAAGGGAUACUUUUAGGGUCAGCCUCGCUAUAAUAAUUAUUACUAAAACCAUCACUAUGAUUUUAGUAAUUUUAUAUGCACGAUUUCCUAAUUGCUUUUGUCUCAUAUGUUAGUUAAAUUAAAAUUGUUUGCAUUUUGACAAACAGCUAUUGCUAGUUACAGAGAUCUAUGAACAUGUAGAUUGCUAUUUCACUAUGAAAAGUGCUCCUUUCACAAACAUGACAGGUUUGCCAAGGGACAGAAAAUGCAUAAUCAUGCAGUUCUGCCACACACACGCACAAAAAAAAGAGUAACUUGAGUGGGGCUAAUAUCCUAUUCAGAAUCAGAACUUGAGUUUCGUGUCUAACCAAUAUUUAUCCAAAAGCACAUCACUUAUGAAUGGCAAAAAAAAAUAAAAUGUAGCCACGUUCUGAAAAUAGUGAUAAGAUUGAAGAAGAAAUACAAAAAAUAUAUGAGUCAAAUCCCAGGUGUGUAAAUCGGUUUUGCAGAAACCCUCAGUGCGAUAUACAAUCAGAUAAGUUGUCAGUAUUAUAUUGGCUUCUAUAAUCCUAAUUUUCUAUUCUAAGUUGUCAGUGUAUAAACGAGCUAAAUAGUGUAAAUGUAAAGGUUAUUACUAAAAUUUGAUCUAUAGGAUUAGUUUAUUUAACUUAGAUCAAGUUUCAGCUGCAACUUAUUUGAUCUCGAAUAUAUUUGUGGUAAAUUGUCUGUUUCAUCACUCUCCAUAUUAUUUUGGUUUUCACCUUCAAUAAUUUUUCAACGUAAUUUUACAAAUUUGCUGGGAACAUGAUUGGAAGUAGACCCCAAUUCAGAAUUAUUUUAUUUUUUAGUUUGAUUGCUUCUAGUAUGUUGUAGACCCCAAUCCAGAGUUAUUUUUAUGUCAUAUUGCUUCUAGUAUCUUAAAAUUAAUAAAAUGUUCAAGUCAAAUAAUACUCAUUGACUUGGACAAGAGUUUCCAGGUGUUGUCCAAUAUAAUAUACCUGCAAGCUAUUUUUUACCCUUUUUUCAGUAUAUAUAUACUACUGCAUUUUAAAGUUUGGGAAUUCUUGUCAGGUGAGUAAAUUCGUUAAUUUUAUGUUUUGGCUAUUUUUCAGACAGAAUCUUGGCUCACCACAAACUAAAACAAUGCAAUAUUGGUCAUAUAAUUAUUACUAUCAAGAGAGCUAGCAAUAUAUAUGUUGAUAGUUCCGGUCAGCAUUGUUCUUCUCAUAACUUUGAUGACUUGUUUGUUACUAUGUAUAGUUGUUACUGUGUAUAGUCGAUGGAUAUCUUUCUAACAGAAAGGAUCAGAGGUAGAGAGUUUCUACUUGAUAGAAGUUUAAAAACUGUUAGCUAGUGGCAACAUGCCUGUUUAAGUUGUAGUGAACCUCCUUUGGAAAGAUACUGUUUAAGUUUUAAGUCAAAUGGUGAAAUAACUAGGUUAUCAUUACCAUCAUCAAAACAUGCACUAUCUUUCAAUAUUUUGACAGCCACUGAUUUUAAUUGACAAAGUAACAUCAAUAUUGGUGAAAACUAAAAAAUAUACAUUUAUGCAAGUAGAAGUUUAUGUUGGCUUGGAAGCUCAAUCUUAUAUCAGAUAUAGUUGUUUGCACUCAAAUUUACUUGUCUUGCACACAAAAAAAUAAUGGUACAAAGCUAGUGUAUUGUAUCUUUACUUGUUUAAUUAGGCUCGCUUUGUUAGGACUCAUUUAAAUUCUUUAAGAAACAAAUCAAGAUCAAGGGUCGCCUAUGAAUGAGCUUAAACAAGUUGUAACUGAUUAGGAUUUAUAUGGAUAAACUCACCUCAGGGACAACAUCAAAAGCCUCAUCACAACAUUUUCGUUCUUCUAGAGGAACCCUUCUUAUACGCUGGAACUCGAUAUAUGCUUCCUCCUAAAUACAUGCAUUCAACAGAUCAUUAGUUGCUCUAUAAAGACCCUUCCUAUUACUUCUAUUUAUUCUUUUAUUCCCAAUGAACAGAAUUUUUCAAGACUGACCUUCGGUGAUAAGAAAACGAUAGAACUCCCUUGUCGACCCAACCUAGCAGUCCGGCCCACUCUGUGUAUGAACACAUCUGGAUCCUGAGGAGGGUCAUACUGCAGAUACACACAGAAAAAAGCAGAUACUGAAAUAAAGAAGCACAGUUCAUACACAAUUAACACCUAUGAUGGUGAAGUAAUUACCUGUAUAACACAAUCAACACCUGGAAUGUCAAGACCUCGAGCUGCAACAUCAGUACAUAGAAGAAUGCCACUUGAAAGAGAUGUAAACGAAGCUAAUGCUUUCUCCCUCGCAGCCUAGAGAAUACAAAAUUAAGCAGCAACAAAGGACCUUGUUCAAUCUUUAGAUGAAUACUUUAUACUUACAGGAAAGCAAAUGAUACUAAUGUUCAGUACUGAUAUUGAUCUGACAACAUGAUUUGCAAAAAGAAAAGAAAAAACGAACCUGUUUCAUCUGUCCAUGCAAAGGAAUUAAUGAACGACCCUUUAAAGCAGAAAGACGAGGAAGGACAACCCCCCAAUAAUCAACACAAGCACAGGUCAUGAAAUAACUGAAAUUGAGAAGGAUCAUAUGUGAGACAAGAGUCAAUAAUGUGUACCAGCAUUUUCAAUACUUAUCAUAUCUGUAGAAUAAAUAUCCAUGCUUAAUGUACAUUAUGAUCUUUUUGGACUUGUUCUUAACAAGUAGAUCCACAAGCUGUGAUGAUUUUUUAUCUGCUUCACAUUCAAGAUACUGCAAAAGUAAAAGACAGUAUAAAAAAGAUAUCUUUAUUGCCUAUAAUCACAAUAUUGUAACAACAUUACAAUUUAAUAUAUAGAUAAGCUGCAGGGUAAUAAUUCUUGAUAGAAAUGUACAUGCCUCAAGAAGAAGACCUGAUGGAGUUUUAGAGGAAACUGAUUGAAGUGAUGAUUGUGCAGAGUUGAUAGAUUUUGUUUCAGCUCGAACUUCAACUCUUACAGAAUUCCUCAAUCCUGCUUUGGAUAGCUCUUCGACAGCCUCUGUUUGAGUAGCUGAAAAGAGACCAGUUCUACGAAGCUUCGGUAGCCGAGAUAUAACAGAAGUUAUCUGCUUUUGAAAUCCCAUAUCCAAUAGCCUAUCAGCUUCAUCUAAUAUCAAAAUCUGUACAAACAGCAAUCUGGUAUUAAAAAUGUUUUCACAGAACUAAAAUCUGCCACUAGCACGUUUACCUAGUUGGUGGGCUCUUGGCAACCAAUCACUAACAAAACAUCAAUGACACACACUGUUUCUAAGAAUAAACAACACACACAAAAAAAGAGGGGGGGGGGGGGGGGGGGUGGNNNNNNNNNNNNNNNNNNNNNNNNNNNNNNNNNNNNNNNNNNNNNNNNNNNNNNNNNNNNNNNNNNNNNNNNNNNNNNNNNNNNNNNNNNNNNNNNNNNNNNNNNNNNNNNNNNNNNNNNNNNNNNNNNNNNNNNNNNNNNNNNNNNNNNNNNNNNNNNNNNNNNNNNNNNNNNNNNNNNNNNNNNNNNNNNNNNNNNNNNNNNNNCCUUUGCGAGAUGAAAGGUCAUUUGGCGUUUUCAAGACAAGAAUAAUUGCUGAACUAACAUAACAAAUCUCGUUUACCAGUUUCUAUUUCCUCAUAGUAGUGAAAAAUAUGAUUAUUCCGUCAAUACUGUAUGAAUUUUGUUUUUCUUUUUAUGCAAAAGCAGUGUGUUCAAGUAUAAUAACACUGGUGAAAGUCUUACUUCUACAAUUAAUGCAAAAAACGUCUUUACUUUUACAUAAAUAUGUGAUGUCAUUCAAUUAUAUAACUAUGCAGUUAAUAAACAAGUAAAUCCAAAGUUAACUAUUCUUCUUAGUUUUUCCCUCGUACUGAGUUUCAAGUAAAAAUAAUUGCACCUGAACGCUACAUAAAUCAACAUACUACCUCAAGGCUCCGAAAAUCAAGAAUAUCCAUGCGGUCCAUGAUGUCAUACAACCUUCCAGGGGUCCCAAUAAGUAGAUUAGCACCCUCAUCCUCGAUUUUCUUCAUGUCUGAUUUUACUUCAGCUCCACCAACAAGAAGAAUAGGUUUGACAUUGGAAAGCGUGGAGAUGAAUGGUUGGGCAACAUGAAAUAUUUGUGAUGACAACUCCCUCGUAGGUGAUAUAAUUAUUCCCAACACCUGGAGCAUUACUCAAGUUAAAUAUAGGUUUGACAUUGGAAAGCAUAGAGAUGAAUGGUUGGGCAACAUGAAAUAUUUGUGAUGACAACUCCCUUGUAGGUGAUAUAAUUAUUCCCAACACCUGGAGCAUUACUCAAGUUAAAUUGCAUAUUGCUAAAAACUAGGUAACCACACAAGUAUCAUUAACGGCUCAUUUAACAUCAUAACAGGCAAACAAAAAAAUACAUAUGCCGUCCCAUCUAAUGCAUUCAUCUACGUAACUAACUAGUAGAGACUUAAUCUUAGCUAAUAGAGUAAGUAAUACUUCCUCUUUCACUCUCAUUUCUUUACACUUUUUGUGCAUUACUCAAUACGCAUUUUAAGGCGCAUAUACAACAUAGUUUCGUAACUUUUUUUGAAAAUUUUCUUUUUUGUAUAAAAAUUUAGAUAGUAAAUAUUUAUUCACAAGAAAAAAAAUUCAAAAAUAAUUUAUCAAACUAUAUUUUAUGAGAGCAUUAGAAUGCAUGCCGAGCCCCCGUCCUCCAAGGUAAACAAUUGAGGGGGACGGGGGGAGUAGCUAAGAGGAGGUAAUCAGUAGGAAACUACAGGACCUUCUAGCUACUCUGCUUAAGCUGAGAUAUCAACCCACCAUACAUGCUAGAAUCGAGAUAUGAAGUAAAAUGAGCUAUUAGAAACUCGAGAAAAUGUUCCGCCUUCAAAUUGCAAAUAAGUUACCAAUUACAUAUACACACAGAGCUCAGCUGCAAUAAAACAACAACAUUAUAUUAACCGCAACAUUAUACUAACCACCUAAAGACACAAUAUUUAAUUUCCUUCUAAUGACAUUGACUAUAUGAUAACAACAAUGCAAUUUAAAGUUCUCCACUACAAAUUACUUCAUCGAAAGAAUAUCAUUGGGCAUGAGAAAAAAAAUAAAAUUUAUCGAGAAUCUACGGACCUGGUGAGGCUUAGGAGGAGUGGAAGCGCGACGGAGAAUCUCAACGAGAGGAACGACAAAAGCUAGGGUUUUCCCAGAGCCCGUGGCGGCGUCAACAGCGACAUCUUUAUAGCUACAUAGCAGAGGUAUAGUAGC
Molecule: long non-coding RNA, 32208 nt
Filed under: Daucus carota (carrot)
Lineage: Eukaryota; Viridiplantae; Streptophyta; Magnoliopsida; Apiales; Apiaceae
Description: long non-coding RNA (DCAR_LNC002451)
Source: RNAcentral